GGGGCCGUAGCUCAGUUGGGAGAGCGCGACGUUCGCAAUGUCGAGGUCAGGGGUUCGAUUCCCCUCGGCUCCACC
This 75-nucleotide transfer RNA is filed under the name Alphaproteobacteria bacterium MarineAlpha9_Bin6. Its description in RNAcentral is "tRNA-Ala". It matches the Rfam family "tRNA". From Rfam's summary of the family: Transfer RNA (tRNA) molecules are approximately 80 nucleotides in length. The record is from RNAcentral. Lineage: Bacteria; Pseudomonadati; Pseudomonadota; Alphaproteobacteria.